UGGAAUUCAUAGUUAUAUUAGGGGCUAAAUCGGGGUAAGGAGCUAGCUAGGCAGAGGAGUAAUUCGGAAAAAGGGUAGGGUAAAACAGGGGGGGAAAUAGUUAGUUUACAGGGUAGGGGGGACAAAUACAGGAGGGAAAAUGGGUGGGGGUAAUAUCGAGAAUGUUGCUCGGAAGGUGGAAAGGAUCUUAUUGUCAUAGAAGAAGAGGAAUUGUAGUGCGAUUUAUAAUAUGUCGAGAGGGGGUGAGAAACUGGCUAAAGGUGACGAUCUGGGAGCUGGUUUGGGAGGGAUGACCACCCAGCUCUGGGACUUGAGACACGGGCCCAGAUUCAUAACGGGAGGGAGCAGUGGGGAGUUUUCCUCAGUGGGCGAAACCGGCGAUGGAGCAAUACUGGUUGCGGGAGGAAGGCUCUUGGGUUGUAAACCUCUUUUGUCGGGGAAGAACACAAUGAUGGUACGGUAGGAAUAAAAAUCGGCUAACUCCGUGCGAGCCGCCGCGGUAAUACGGAGGAUUCAAGCGUUAUCGGGAAUGAUCUCAGACUACACGCUCGCCAGAUACGCCUUUGAUUUUUACGAAAUGAUUUCAACAACGCCUGUGCGCGCACGAGAGCUCUUAUAUCCAGAUGAAGCCCGCCGCAUUGAGAAAUGUUCAGAAUCGUUUAUUAGGCUCCGACGGAUAUUUUGGCACGCAGAGAAGAGCGCGCAAAGGGGAAUANUCCCCGCAGUAUAUCGGAGGUAACAUCGCGGGG
This 749-nucleotide ribosomal RNA is filed under the name Nostoc spongiaeforme LCR10. Its description in RNAcentral is "partial 16S ribosomal RNA". The stretch from base 160 to 522 matches the Rfam family "Bacterial small subunit ribosomal RNA", at positions 31 to 542 of the family's 1533-position model. Lineage: Bacteria; Bacillati; Cyanobacteriota; Cyanophyceae; Nostocales; Nostocaceae. The record is from RNAcentral.